CGGGAAUAACCCGUUGAAAGACGGACUAAUACCGCAUAAUACUAAAUUACUGCAUGGUAAUUUAUUUAAACAUUUAUGGCUUACAGAUGGGCAUGCGCAUGAUUAGCUAGUUGGAGAGGUAACGGCUCCCCAAGGCAACGAUCAUUAGGGGUUCUGAGAGGAAGGUCCCCCACACUGGUACUGAGACACGGACCAGACUCCUACGGGAGGCAGCAGUGAGGAAUAUUGGUCAAUGGACGAGAGUCUGAACCAGCCAAGUCGCGUGCAGGAAGAAUGUCCUUAAUGGAUUAGUAAACUGUCUUUUGCGAAGGGGAAAUAAAGUGCAUCACGUGUGAUUGUUUUGUAUGUACUCUGCGAAUAAGGAUCGGCUAACUCCGUGCCAGCAGCAGC
Molecule: ribosomal RNA, 390 nt
Filed under: uncultured bacterium
Lineage: Bacteria
Description: bacterial SSU rRNA
Rfam family: Bacterial small subunit ribosomal RNA
Source: RNAcentral